AUAUAUAUAUAUAUAUAUAUAAAAGCAAAUAUCCAUGAUGAUAUAAAAGUGAUGUAAUAUAAGUGAUGGCAAUGUAAGUACAGUGUAAAAGGGGAGGAGUGGACUCUAGGUGCUCAUAAACAGCAGCUCUGAGCUCAGUUCAGCAGCUCACAAGGUUGAAGGAGCCCUUCAAACACUGGUCUCGGAUCAGAAUACGAACCCUUGUAGGUAUUCGUAUGUUGGGCAUAAAAUGGCUCAAGGAAGCCACACUGGGAUUGUGAUUGGCUACAGUUUUUUUUUCUUUUUUUUAAACUAGGAAAAAGGGCUGAGCUGGGCAUGCGUCGGUCCUUCCAUACUCUACCAUCUCAAAUACCAUUUGCCUAUUUAUGUGUAGCUUUAGUAGCGAUAUGUUCCGUAGCUUCACAGACCCAGAGGUGCUAACAGCCUGCCAGCUGGCCGCCCUUCUCAGAGCUGUGUAACCAAGAAAGCCAUUAGGAGUUAGCUUGAGCUUUACCCCCAUUCCUCUGAAAUUUUUUUUAGCCAGAGCAGCGCUGAAGCUCUUUCCUGCUAGUCUGUGAAUCGAUGCAUUUGAAGACUCUUCUCUUUUUUCCCCUCAUCUCCUGCCCAUAAUUAUCCGUAAUUCCUUUAUUUUUAUUUAUUUUUUUUGCUCUGGUUGCUUCUUUCUCUUGCUUUUUCAAUCCAUCCCAUCAUUCUGCACUACUCUCUUUGCUUUCCCCUCUCUCUCUUCUCUAUUAAAAGGUGCUUUAUUGACAUGUAAUCAGAGCAGUAGCAAGUCUGUGGUCUCUCCUCAGACGGACAUGUUCUCUGAGGACUUGAACUAAUGUUCACUAACCAAACAAGCCUUUGACAGAACACAACUCAACAGAACAGGGCAUUCUGACACAUGUACCACUCCCCGACCUCCCGUCUGAGUCCUGAACCCUUUUUUUUUUUUUUUUGUUAUUCACCCCCAACCCCAACAACAAAGCCAAGGUACAACCCAAUACAUACCCUGCUAAUCCAAAGAAGUCACGCUGACCUGCAUGAUUAAUGUGUCCACUUUUGUCGGAUGUGGGGGAGGAGGGAUCGGAUGGGAGACGGAGGUAAUGAUUAGCUCUGAUUGGCAGCCUGUAACGUACCUCAGGGAUAAGGCCUUACAGAGGGGAGAUCUAAUCCUGUCAUCCCCCCAUCGCUGUCAUCAUCAUCAUUAUAUUAGCCUCUCUUUCUCAGUUUUGUUUCUGUCUUCCUCCCCCCUUUUUUCUGUCUUUCUCUUCUUUUUUUGAUGCUGUAUCUUGUCCUCUUGUCUAUGCUGUGCCUUGCUCCUGUAAGUGUCAGUAAGCAAAGUGGUUUACUAGCUCAAAAAAAAAAAAAAAAAAACCUUUGCCAAAGUUGAUGGGAAAGUUAAGGUAGAGUUCUUUUCUAGGUUUUUAUUUAUACUAUAUAUUUGCAUACAGUACUUUACAUGCCAAUUACAGUGCAAUCUUCAUUUAUUUAUUGUUUAAAGAUUAAGAGACAAGUGUAGUUAUAUACUAAUUUUUUUCUUGUAGCAUGUUUUAUUUUUUCUUUUAAUUUUUAUUUUUUUUCAAUGGAUGUAUGUUAGAUUGUAUGAUUAAGGCCAGCAUUCCUUAUCUCAGUAACCCUUUAAGUAUUUUCUCUUACAGCUGUUGGGAACCUGUAGCUCAUCAGUCCAUGCAUUGCAGUUAUCAUUGCCGUUUCAAACGUGUAACCAAAUGCCUAUGUAUUUUUUGUUUUUUUGUUUUGUUUCAUCUCCUGUUUCGGCCGCGCACAGGCGAACAGUUCUUGUAAUGCUUAGAGAGACAUGUAGCAAGCCAGGCCUUAGGGUCAGUUCAAGUCAUCUGUAUUGGGAUAAACAUUGCUGCCUUUGGCUUUUUUUUUAAAAAAAAUUACUGAUUAGUGUUAUAAUGAAGCUUCUGAUAUCUUUUUACUGUUUUUAUUGCCAAAGUGCAGGCUUCUCUUUUUUCGUGUCCACUAGAUGUUGCGUUCGCAGUCGUCUAAAGGGUUCUGUGAUGUUCUUCUGUAACGACACAACAUUAUUAUUAUUAUUAUUAUUAUUAUUAUUAUUAUUAUUAUUAUUAUUAUUAUUAUUAUUAUUAUUCUCUCAAAAGGAAAAAAAGACAUUACCUUGAUCUGUGAUUAUGCUUCUUUUCAUAUUAUCUUUUAUUAUUUUUGGGGGGGGUUUUGUAAAGCGAAAACAAAUGUGCCAUUUUUGAAAUGUGUAGCCCCUUUUGGAGGAGAGUUCUUAUUUUUUUCACACAUAACCUGAUUUCUCACUGAAAAGGUAAAGAAGGCAAAAAAAAAAAAAAAAAACACCCAACACAAUCAUGCGAUGAUUUCAGGCAGACAAUAAUAAUGAUAUUGACGAUUCGUUUUUCAGGCUAGUGCUGGUAUAGCAGUAGUGAGUGUUUUUGUAUCCAGUGUUUUUUGCUAAGAGAUGAUAUACAGAGAUAUCUAUAGAGCUAUAGAAUGAGAUGGUAAAUACGUUAUGACUAACAGAGUUGAAGCACUUUUUUUAUGCUGAGCAUGAGGCUUGAUGAGUUUAAUGUGAGCGAUCCUUUACUCAUUUCCAAACACUACUGCCAACGGCGUCUGUUACACUCAUUGGCAUUAUUGUUGUCGUUGGCGUCACUGUGACAUUUGGCAUUACUGCAGCACUGUUCUGCGCUACUCAAAUGGCACCCUGCUCCCCAAAUAAACUGCGGUUCACGAGGGAGUGCGGUGCCUUCGUCAGACGUGCUCCUUGUGUGUCUCCCUAAACCUGUUGCAUUGCAAUCGACGGAUGACAUAUGAGGUGUCCUGUCCUUAAACCCACUGAUGUUACAUUGUCCAGCCCCCUUUUUAUUCCCCACAUUUCCAAGCCUUAAUGCCCCACUGGGAGAGCAGGGGUUCGCCUUGUGUUUGGUCCACGUCAGGCCAGUUAUGCUAGUGUUGAAUAGUCUGACGUUAACGCAGUGUUGACCAGAAGGCUUCAUAUUUGUGGGUAGGGUACUCCCUUUAUGUGCUGUGUUGUUUUUAUUUUCAAAUGCUGGUGAUUUUUCUAGAACCCCCUCCCCACUCACCCUGCAGGUCCUGCACAUUUUAGCGGGUAAAUCAAGAAUGAGAGACAAUGUUUUUUGCCCAGCAACCCCACGUCUGUGCCUUCUGAUCAGUUUUUAUUAUUUUCUCUUUUUUUUUUGUACAUUUUACAGUAAGUAGAGAUUUUGACUGAGAGAUUGGCGAUUUGACAAACGUACAGAGACUCACAGGUAUUUAACUAUUUUUUAAGCGAGACAAAAAAAAACCAUAUUUUUACCUCACGAUUUAAAUACAAACAUUCCAAUGUUGUCAUGGUCUACGAAUUGAGAAAAAAAAAAGAAAAGAAAUUCAUGCAUUUCUUCUUGUAUUGUAAAUGUUAGACAAUUUCAUAUGCAUUAUAUAAAAGAAACUGCCAUAUCAAUUUUAAUGUAUAGAUUUUUGCAAAUACUACCCUAUGUAUGUAAGACGUAACUGUAUCGGUAGCGUAUAUAUAAUAUAUUUAUGCCCAAUAAAUGUUUUAAUUUUUUUUCUGA
Amphiprion ocellaris (clown anemonefish) is the source of this 3545-nucleotide long non-coding RNA. The record is from Ensembl. Lineage: Eukaryota; Metazoa; Chordata; Actinopteri; Pomacentridae.